UCGCCUGUUUACCAAAAACAUCGCCUCUUGAAUAUCUAUAAGAGGUCCAGCCUGCCCAGUGACUUUGUUCAACGGCCGCGGUAUCCUAACCGUGCGAAGGUAGCGUAAUCACUUGUCUUUUAAAUGGGGACUUGUAUGAAUGGCAUCACGAGGGUUAUACUGUCUCCUUUUUCUAAUCAGUGAAACUAAUCUUCCCGUGAAGAAGCGGGAAUAAACAUAUAAGACGAGAAGACCCUAUGGAGCUUUAAACUCAAUAACAAAUACUAACCUUACAUCAACUUUCAGAAGAUCAACCUUAAUUUUAGUAUUAUGAUUAUUAGUUUUAGGUUGGGGUGACCGCGGAGUAAAAAUUAACCUCCACAUUGAACGGGACCUGUCCCUGAGCCAAGAACUACAGCUCGAAGCACCAACAAAUUGACAUUAAUUGACCCA
Molecule: ribosomal RNA, 432 nt
Filed under: Osteocephalus taurinus group sp. ABGD cluster 12
Lineage: Eukaryota; Metazoa; Chordata; Amphibia; Anura; Hylidae
Description: partial large subunit ribosomal RNA
Rfam family: Bacterial large subunit ribosomal RNA
Source: RNAcentral